UACCAUGCUGAAUAUACCGUUAGAUCACCGAAGUCAAGCAUCAUUGGGCGCGGUGAGUACUUGGGUGGGUGAACACCCUGGGAACACCGC
Molecule: non-coding RNA, 90 nt
Organism: Caerostris extrusa
Lineage: Eukaryota; Metazoa; Arthropoda; Arachnida; Araneae; Araneidae
Source: the annotation of a GenBank genome assembly